RNAcentral lists this ribosomal RNA (526 nucleotides) under uncultured eubacterium WR1112. RNAcentral's name for it is "bacterial SSU rRNA". It matches the Rfam family "Bacterial small subunit ribosomal RNA", at positions 9 to 527 of the family's 1533-position model. The record is from RNAcentral.
GAGUUUGAUCAUGGCUCAGAUUGAACGCUGGCGGCAUGCCUUACACAUGCAAGUCGAACGGCAGCACGGGAGCAAUCCUGGUGGCGAGUGGCGAACGGGUGAGUAAUACAUCGGAACGUGUCCUGUAGUGGGGGAUAGCCCGGCGAAAGCCGGAUUAAUACCGCAUACGAUCUGUGGAUGAAAGCGGGGGAUCCUUCGGGACCUCGCGCUACAGGGGCGGCCGAUGGCAGAUUAGCUAGUUGGUGGGGUAAAGGCCUACCAAGGCGACGAUCUGUAGCUGGUCUGAGAGGACGACCAGCCACACUGGGACUGAGACACGGCCCAGACUCCUACGGGAGGCAGCAGUGGGGAAUUUUGGACAAUGGGCGAAAGCCUGAUCCAGCGAUGCCGCGUGUGUGAAGAAGGCCUUCGGGUUGUAAAGCACUUUUGUCCGGAAAGAAAACCUCGUGGUUAAUACCCCGUGGGGGAUGACGGUACCGGAAGAAUAAGCACCGGCUAACUACGUGCCAGCAGCCGCGGUAAUACG